Molecule: long non-coding RNA, 302 nt
Filed under: Musa acuminata (dwarf banana)
Lineage: Eukaryota; Viridiplantae; Streptophyta; Magnoliopsida; Zingiberales; Musaceae
Description: long non-coding RNA (MACU_LNC002731)
Source: RNAcentral
GAUCAUAGCUCGGGCCAACUUUGGGACGUGAGUUUGAGAAUAUCGUAGACUAUUGCGAUGUUGCCUAUUUUGCUUCUGAGCCAAGUGUAUCAGUCUUGUAGAAGCACAUUUGCUGGUGAGACUGCCUCGUAAGUGGUAGUUUAUAGAAAGAGAUGUGUGGUAGGAAAUGUUUUGUCAUAGUUAUCAGAUGGUGGUCGGAUUGAAAAAAUCAGGAAUUAGACUAUUAAUUGGUGUCAGUCACAGAAUGGAUUGAUUGUGUCAAAACAAGAAUGAACUGGUCGACCAGGUUUGAUUUUGGUGAA